Molecule: ribosomal RNA, 440 nt
Filed under: uncultured bacterium
Lineage: Bacteria
Description: partial 16S ribosomal RNA
Rfam family: Bacterial small subunit ribosomal RNA
Source: RNAcentral
CCUACGGGAGGCAGCAGUGGGGAAUAUUGCACACUGUGGGAAACCCUGAUGCAGCGACGCCGCGUGAGUGAAGAAGUAAUUCGUUAUGUAAAGCUCUCUCAGCAGGGAAGAAAAUGACGGUACCUGAGUAAGAAGCCCCGGCUAACUACGUGCCAGCAGCCUCGAUAAUACGUAGGGGUCAAGCGUUAUCCGGAUUUACUGGGUGUAAAGGGCGCGUAGACGGCAGUUCAAGUCUGGAGUGAAAGGCGGGGGCUCAACCCCCGGACUGCUCUGGAAACUGUACGGCUGGAGUGCAGGAGAGGUAAGUGGAAUUCCUAGUGUAGCGGUGAAAUGCGUAGAUAUUAGGAGGAACACCAGUGGCGAAGGCGGCUUACUGGACUGUAACUGACGUUGAGGCUCGAAAGCGUGGGGAGCAAACAGGAUUAGAUACCCCUGUAGUC